Molecule: long non-coding RNA, 153 nt
Organism: Thalassophryne amazonica
Lineage: Eukaryota; Metazoa; Chordata; Actinopteri; Batrachoidiformes; Batrachoididae
Exons: 3
Source: RefSeq, a predicted model, not a curated record
ACUGUUUUAAAUUGUUGAAAUUGCUGUAUUUUGUUGUUUUAUCUGUUUUCUCUGUUUGCCCUUGUAGCACUUUGAGGUUUGGUAUCAAACAAAAAGUGCAUUAGAAAUAAAAUUUAGUAUUAUUAUUAUUAUUAUAACCAAUAUGGAAAAGUG